UUGAACGCUGGCGGCAUGCUUUACACAUGCAAGUCGAACGGCAGCGCGGGGCAACCUGGCGGCGCGUGGCGAACGGGUGAGUAAUAUAUCGGAACGUACCCAAGAGUGGGGGAUAACGUAGCGAAAGUUACGCUAAUACCGCAUACGAUCUAAGGAUGAAAGUGGGGGAUCGCAAGACCUCAUGCUCCUGGAGCGGCCGAUAUCUGAUUAGCUAGUUGGUGAGGUAAAGGCUCACCAAGGCGACGAUCAGUAGCUGGUCUGAGAGGACGACCAGCCACACUGGAACUGAGACACGGUCCAGACUCCUACGGGAGGCAGCAGUGGGGAAUUUUGGACAAUGGGCGCAAGCCUGAUCCAGCAAUGCCGCGUGAGUGAAGAAGGCCUUCGGGUUGUAAAGCUCUUUUGUCAGGGAAGAAACGGUAGAGGCUAAUAUCCUUUGCUAAUGACGGUACCUGAAGAAUAAGCACCGGCUAACUACGUG
Molecule: ribosomal RNA, 481 nt
Filed under: uncultured bacterium
Lineage: Bacteria
Description: partial 16S ribosomal RNA
Rfam family: Bacterial small subunit ribosomal RNA
Source: RNAcentral